Molecule: long non-coding RNA, 533 nt
Organism: Photinus pyralis (common eastern firefly)
Lineage: Eukaryota; Metazoa; Arthropoda; Insecta; Coleoptera; Lampyridae
Exons: 4
Source: RefSeq, a predicted model, not a curated record
UAGUUGCAGACAAUGGAUUUUUUUUGGGUUUUAAGAUUGGUAUCACCACUGCUUCUUUCCAUUCAUCUGGGCGUCAGAUUCUUCAGCAUCUCGUUUGCUAUCUGGUCAGGUCCAGGUGCUGUGUUCCUGGCCUUUUGUAAAGCAAACUCCAUCUCCAGCAUUGUAAAAGAAAAGGUGGGGGGAUAGUUUCCGGAGCUACUAACUACUGCAAACUGAUUGGCCAAAGCGUUCGCGAUUUCUUCUGGUUUUUCCAAGACUAGGUCUUGUGUUUGUAAUGAAUGUAUCGCCCACAUCAGCAUUUGCAUUGAUAGUUGACGUAUAUUUAAUCCAACUUUGACGCUUACUCUCAAAUACGACUCGUCUGCUUAUUGCUCUCGCUCGUUUGAAGUUGAUAUGGUUUUCAACGGUAGGUUGCCUUUGGUAGAGUCUAAAUGCAACACUCUUGUUUCUGAUGGCUACUUUUACAUCCUGAUUCCACCAUGGAAUGGGUCUCUUCACAGGCUUGUUUCCAGUCUUUGGUAUGCUCUUCAUCG